UUGGAGGGCAAGUCUGGUGCCAGCAGCCGCGGUAAUUCCAGCUCCAAUAGCGUAUAUUAAAGUUGUUGCAGUUAAAAAGCUCGUAGUUGAAUUUCGAGAUCAAUUUGUCGGUCGUGCCUCGGUACGUACUGGCAUUAUUGAUUUCUCCCUUCUGAAGAACCGCGAUGUCAUUAAUUUGGUGUCGUGGGGAAUCAGGACUGUUACUUUGAAAAAAUUAGAGUGUUUAAAGCAGGCGCACGCUUGAAUACAUUAGCAUGGAAUAAUGAAAUAGGACGUUUGAUUCUAUUUUGUUGGUUUCUAGGAUCGACGUAAUGAUUAAUAGGGAUAGUUGGGGGCAUUAGUAUUCAAUUGUCAGAGGUGAAAUUCUUGGAUUUAUUGAAGACUAACUACUGCGAAAGCAUUUGCCAAGGAUGUUUUCAUUAAUCAAGAACGAAAGUUAGGGGAUCGAAGACGAUCAGAUACCGUCGUAGUCUUAACCAUAAACUAUGCCGACUAGGGAUCGGAUGAUGUUAAUUUUUUAAUGACUCAUUCGGCGCCUUACGGGAAAC
RNAcentral lists this ribosomal RNA (548 nucleotides) under uncultured Glomeromycotina. RNAcentral's name for it is "SSU rRNA". It matches the Rfam family "Eukaryotic small subunit ribosomal RNA", at positions 548 to 1098 of the family's 1831-position model. Lineage: Eukaryota; Fungi; Glomeromycota. The record is from RNAcentral.